AUACGGAGGGUGCAAGCGUUAUCCGGAAUCAUUGGGUUUAAAGGGUCCGUAGGCGGACUAUUAAGUCAGAGGUGAAAUCCCACAGCUCAACUGUGGAACUGCCUUUGAUACUGGUAGUCUUGAGUUAUAUGGAAGUAGAUAGAAUGUGUAGUGUAGCGGUGAAAUGCAUAGAUAUUACACAGAAUACCGAUUGCGAAGGCAGUCUACUACGUAUAUACUGACGCUAAGGGACGAAAGCGUGGGGAGCGAACAGGAUUAGAUACCCGGGUAGUCC
Molecule: ribosomal RNA, 274 nt
Filed under: uncultured bacterium
Lineage: Bacteria
Description: partial 16S ribosomal RNA
Rfam family: Bacterial small subunit ribosomal RNA
Source: RNAcentral